GAUGAACGCUGGCGGCGUGCCUAAUACAUGCAAGUCGAGCGAACAGACGAGGAGCUUGCUCCUCUGACGUUAGCGGCGGACGGGUGAGUAACACGUGGAUAACCUACCUAUAAGACUGGGAUAACUUCGGGAAACCGGCGCUAAUACCGGAUAAUAUAUUGAACCGCAUGGUUCAAUAGUGAAAGACGGUUUUGCUGUCACUUAUAGAUGGAUCCGCGCCGCAUUAGCUAGUUGGUAAGGUAACGGCUUACCAAGGCAACGAUGCGUAGCCGACCUGAGAGGGUGAUCGGCCACACGGGAACUGAGACACGGUCCAGACUCCUACGGGAGGCAGCAGUAGGGAAUCUUCCGCAAUGGGCGAAAGCCUGACGGAGCAACGCCGCGUGAGUGAUGAAGGUCUUCGGAUCGUAAAACUCUGUCAUUAGGGAAGAACAAAUGUGUAAGUAACUAUGCACGUCUUGACGGUACCUAAUCAGAAAGCCACGGCUAACUACGUG
RNAcentral lists this ribosomal RNA (497 nucleotides) under uncultured bacterium. Its description in RNAcentral is "partial 16S ribosomal RNA". It matches the Rfam family "Bacterial small subunit ribosomal RNA", at positions 28 to 507 of the family's 1533-position model. The record is from RNAcentral.